This is a long non-coding RNA of Exaiptasia diaphana, 263 nucleotides long. RefSeq lists it as uncharacterized. The record is from RefSeq and is a predicted model, not a curated record. The transcript has 2 exons. Lineage: Eukaryota; Metazoa; Cnidaria; Anthozoa; Actiniaria; Aiptasiidae.
UGGUUACGUCGUUCAGGAAGGACACCAAGCUGGGGAACAGGUCCCAGUGGCGACAUUACUGCCAAUAAACAUGGAAAAGGCCAUUAUAUCUAUGCUGAGGCAUCCUACUGGCGUGCUYGGCGCGGCGACKUUGCUGAGCUUCGAAGUGCGAUGUUUCAACCCGCCCCUCAAGGUCUUUGCUUCAUGUUUGCGUAUAACAUGUACGGCAGUGGAAUGGGUUCUUUAGAGGUGUACGUCACUGAUUUAGAAUUUGGAAAUAGAAC